This 406-nucleotide ribosomal RNA is filed under the name uncultured bacterium. Its description in RNAcentral is "partial 16S ribosomal RNA". It matches the Rfam family "Bacterial small subunit ribosomal RNA", at positions 30 to 526 of the family's 1533-position model. The record is from RNAcentral.
AUUGAACGCUGGCGGCAGGCCUAACACAUGCAAGUCGAACGAGUGGCGGACGGGUGAGUAAUGGCUGGGAAACUUCCUGAUGGGGGGGGAUAACUACUGGAAACGGUAGCUAAUACCGCAUACCAUCGGAUGUGCCCCAAGGGGAUUAGCUAGUAGGGGGGGUAAAGGCUCACUUAGGCGACGAUCCCUAGCUGGUCUGAGAGGAUGACCAGCCAAACUGGAACUGAGACACGGUCCAGACUCCUACGGGAGGCAGCAGUGGGGAAUAUUGCACAAUGGGCGAAAGCCGGAUGCAGCCAUGCCGCGUGUAUGAAGAAGGCCUUCGGGUUGUAAAGUACUUUCAGCGGGGAGGCGUUACCCGCAGAAGAAGCACCGGCUAACUCCGUGCCAGCCGCCGCGGUAAUUC